Non-coding RNA from Podarcis lilfordi (Lilford's wall lizard), 81 nucleotides. Lineage: Eukaryota; Metazoa; Chordata; Lepidosauria; Squamata; Lacertidae. The record is from the annotation of a GenBank genome assembly.
GCCUUGUGCGUUGAUAGUUCAGUUGGUUAGAGCAUGGUGCUGAUUAUGUCAAGAUUGGAGGUUCGAUCCCUGUAUGGGACA